Molecule: ribosomal RNA, 550 nt
Filed under: uncultured bacterium
Lineage: Bacteria
Description: bacterial SSU rRNA
Rfam family: Bacterial small subunit ribosomal RNA
Source: RNAcentral
UAGGGAAUCUUCCGCAAUGGACGCAAGUCUGACGGAGCAACGCCGCGUGAGUGAAGAAGGUUUUCGGAUCGUAAAACUCUGUUGUUAGAGAAGAACAAGUGCUAGAGUAACUGUUAGCGCCUUGACGGUAUCUAACCAGAAAGCCACGGCUAACUACGUGCCAGCAGCCGCGGUAAUACGUAGGUGGCAAGCGUUGUCCGGAUUUAUUGGGCGUAAAGCGAGCGCAGGCGGUUCCUUAAGUCUGAUGUGAAAGCCCCCGGCUCAACCGGGGAGGGUCAUUGGAAACUGGGGAACUUGAGUGCAGAAGAGGAGAGUGGAAUUCCAUGUGUAGCGGUGAAAUGCGUAGAUAUAUGGAGGAACACCAGUGGCGAAGGCGACUCUCUGGUCUGUAACUGACGCUGAGGCUCGAAAGCGUGGGUAGCAAACAGGACUAGAUACCCUGGUAGUCCACGCCGUAAACGAUGAGUGCUAGGUGUUGGAUCCUUUCCGGGAUUCAGUGCCGCAGCUAACGCAUUAAGCACUCCGCCUGGGGAGUACGACCGCAAGGUUG